GUCAGUAGCUGUACCAGCUGCAGUUCAGACUAGAUAAUAUACCUGAAGCUAAGCAAGUUUGAGCCUGGCCAGUGUUUGGAUGGGAGACCAACUAGGAAAAUGGGAUUGCUGCUGGAN
RNAcentral lists this ribosomal RNA (117 nucleotides) under Paramormyrops kingsleyae. The record is from RNAcentral. Lineage: Eukaryota; Metazoa; Chordata; Actinopteri; Osteoglossiformes; Mormyridae.